RNAcentral lists this ribosomal RNA (1351 nucleotides) under uncultured prokaryote. Its description in RNAcentral is "partial 16S ribosomal RNA". It matches the Rfam family "Bacterial small subunit ribosomal RNA", at positions 88 to 1427 of the family's 1533-position model. The record is from RNAcentral.
GAGUAUAGUGGCGCACGGGUGAGUAACGCAUAGGAACGUACCUUCGGGUGGGGAAUAACCACGGGAAACUGUGGCUAAUACCGCAUAAGCUCGUAAGAGGAAAAGUGGCUUCGGCUACUGCCCAUAGAUCGGCCUAUGUCCCAUUAGCUUGUUGGUAGGGUAAUGGCCUACCAAGGCUACGAUGGGUAGCUGGUCUGAGAGGAUGAUCAGCCACACUGGAACUGAGACACGGUCCAGACUCCUACGGGAGGCAGCAGUGGGGAAUCUUGCACAAUGGGCGAAAGCCUGAUGCAGCAACGCCGCGUGGGUGAAGAAGGCUCUUGGGUCGUAAAGCCCUUUCGAUUGGGAAGAAGGGUCCUAAGGUAAAUAAUCUUGGGAUUUGACGGUACCAGAAGAAGAAGCACCGGCUAACUCCGUGCCAGCAGCCGCGGUAAUACGGAGGGUGCAAGCGUUGUUCGGAAUUACUGGGCGUAAAGCGCACGUAGGCGGGUUCAUAAGCCGAUUGUGAAAGCCCAGAGCUCAACUUUGGAAUUGCAGUCGGAAACUACGAAUCUUGAAUGCCCGAGAGGGUGGGGGAAUUCCUGGUGUAGACGUGACAUUCGUAGAUAUCAGGAGGAACACCUGAGGCGAAGGCGCCUACCCUGGCGGUGCCUUGACGCUGAGGUGCGAAAGCGUGGGGAGCAAACCAGGAUUGGAUACCCUGGUAGUCCACCCCCGUAAACGAUGGAUUACUAGGGCGUUCGGGAGUUGUUAACCCUUCUGAGUGCCGCAGCACACCGCAUUAAGUAAUCCCGCCUGGGGAGUACCGGUCGCAAGGCUAAAACUCAAAAGGAAAUGAGCGGGGGCCCGCACAACCGGUGGAGUAUGUGGUUUAAUUCGAAGCAACGCGCAGAACCUUACCUGGGCUUGACAUCCCACGACCGCUACAGAGAUGUAGUUUCCUCUUCGGGGGCGUGGUGACAGGUGCUGCAUGGCUGUCGUCAGCUCGUGUCGUGAGAUGUUCGGUUAAGUCCGGCAACGAGCGCAACCCCUAUUGUUAGUUGCCAUCAUUAAGUUGGGCACUUUAGCGAGACUGCCGGUGAUAAACCGGAGGAAGGCGGGGAUGACGUCAAGUCCUCAUGGCCCUUACGCCCAGGGCUACACACGUACUACAAUGGCAAAGACAGAGCGACGCGAGACCGCGAGGUGAAGCUAAUCGCAAAAACAUUGUCUCAGUCCGGAUUGGAGUCUGCAACUCGACUCCAUGAAGCUGGAAUCGCUAGUAAUCGCAGAUCAGCACGCUGCGGUGAAUACGUUCCCGGGCCUUGUACACACCGCCCGUCACACCACGAAAGUGGUCAUAACCAGAAGC